GGAUGCCUUGGCAUGCUUAGCCGAUGAAGGACGUGUGAGGCUGCGUUAUGCCUCGGGGAGUUGCCAACAAAGCGUUGAUCCGAGGAUGUCCGAAUGGGGAAACCUGGCACUUGUUAUGGAGUGUUACCUGCAGAUGAAUGUAUAGUCUGUGUGGGGGUUACGCGGGGAAGUGAAACAUCUCAGUACCCGUAGGAGAAGAUAUUCCGUGAGUAGUGGCGAGCGAAAGCGGAGGAGGCUAAACCGUGUGUGUGUUCAAGCCGGCAGGUGUUGCAUGUGCGGGGUUGUGGGGGCCUUGUGGUUCUGCUGCCGCAGGAUUGGCCAGUGAGAAAUGUUGCGUGAAGGUGAAGCGUCUGGGAAGGCGUACCGGAGUGGGUGAGAGUCCUGUAACUGUAAGCGUGGCACUGGUGUGGGGUUGCCCCGAGUAGCGUGGAACUCGUGGAAUUUCGCGUGAAUCUGGCGGGACCACCCGUCAAGCCUAAAUACUCCUUGGUGACCGAUAGUGGAUGAGUACCGUGAGGGAAGGGUGAAAAGUACCCCGGGAGGGGAGUGAAAGAGUUCCUGAAACCGUGCGCUUACAAUCCGUCAGAGCACCGUUUGUGUGUGAUGGCGUGCCUUUUGAAGAAUGAGCCUGCGAGUCAGCGGCAUGUCGCGAGGUUAACCCGUUAUGUGGGGUAGUCGUAGCGAAAGCGAAUCCUAAUUGGGUGUUGUAAGUGGCAUGUCCUGGACCCGAAGCGGGGUGAUCU
Molecule: ribosomal RNA, 743 nt
Filed under: Ctenophora environmental sample
Lineage: Eukaryota; Metazoa; Ctenophora
Description: partial Bacterial large subunit ribosomal RNA
Rfam family: Bacterial large subunit ribosomal RNA
Source: RNAcentral